GAAACCCGCACACCGAUAGACUAAGGUUUCCUGAACAACGCUAAUCGGUUCAGGGUUAGUCGGGUCCUAAGGGGUAGCCGAAUGGCGAACCCGAUGGCAAACAGGUUAAUAUUCCUGUACUAGUUAUAACUGCGAUGGAGUGACGAGGGAGUGACAAGUCUGCGUGUAGACGAAAUGACACGUUAAAUUCUUAAGGUAUAAGAUUUGGAGUUAAAUGCCCAUAUCUUGCUGACGGGAGAUAGUACUGUGAAACUUCUAGUGGAACAGAUAAUGACUGUAAUGACCUCCAAGAAAACCUUCUAAGCUUAGGUUAUAAGUAUCCGUACCGCAAACCGACACAGGUAGUCAAGGAGAGAAUCCUAAGGUGCUCGAGUGAUUCAUGGCUAAGGAACUAGGCAAAAUGGUCUCGUAACUUCGGGAGAAGAGACGCCAACAGUAAUGUUGGCCGCAGUGAAUAGGCCCAGGCGACUGUUUAUCAAAAACACAUGGCUUUGCAAAAACGAAAGUUGACGUAUAAGGCCUGACACCUGCCCGGUGCUGGAAGGUUAAGAGGAGAUGUUAGAUUCGUCGAAGCAUUGAAUUGAAGCCCCAGUAAACGGCGGCCGUAACUAUAACGGUCCUAAGGUAGCGAAAUUCCUUGUCGGGU
This 646-nucleotide ribosomal RNA is filed under the name Pseudo-nitzschia fraudulenta. RNAcentral describes it as "partial Bacterial large subunit ribosomal RNA". It matches the Rfam family "Bacterial large subunit ribosomal RNA", at positions 1325 to 1977 of the family's 2925-position model. The record is from RNAcentral. Lineage: Eukaryota; Bacillariophyta; Bacillariophyceae; Bacillariales; Bacillariaceae.